GUUUUCGGAUAAUCGCGGUUUGACUAGAUCAAGCUGAGGAAAGUCCAUGCUCACACAGACUGAGAUGUCUGUAGUGUUCGUGCCUAGCGAAACGAUAAGCUAGGGUAUUUCGUAGGAAAUAACGGCAGGAAAAAAAGCUAAGGUGUCAAAGCUAUGCUUGAGUAUCCUUGAAAGUGCCACAGUGACGAAGCGUUUAGAGAAAUCUAAACGGUGGAACGCGGUAAACCCCUCGAGUGAGCAACCCAAACAUUAUGGUAGGGGCACUUUUUGGAGCGGAAAUGAACGAGACAAAGAGGCAAUAAGCAAUUAUUGCAGAUAGAUGAUUAUCCAUAUUAUUUUUCCCUGUAAAAUAAUUGGACAAAACAUGGCUUAUAGAA
Molecule: non-coding RNA, 377 nt
Organism: Enterococcus aquimarinus
Lineage: Bacteria; Bacillati; Bacillota; Bacilli; Lactobacillales; Enterococcaceae
Rfam family: Bacterial RNase P class B
About the family: Ribonuclease P (RNase P) is a ubiquitous endoribonuclease, found in archaea, bacteria and eukarya as well as chloroplasts and mitochondria.
Source: Rfam